GUUGCAUUGCUGUGUAGGGACUCACGUUACAUAUGGAAUCAAUAGCAUUAACACAGUUAGCAUUACUCAAGGUAAAAGAUUAUUUCAUGACUAUUGACUAUAAAAAUCAAACAAUGACAAGAGGAGAUUUAUUUAGAUACAUACUAUAGAAGAAAGAUAAAUACUAUAAGAUCUGGCCAAGAUUUAUGGUAUAUAGAUUUACAGAUUUGAGAUAUAAUAACAAAAUAGUUGCCACCACAGUGGACAGAUUAAGAGAAGAUUUAUUUAUAAACAUCACACAAAAGGAGAGUUAAAAAAAAAAAACAACACACACACACACACACUAGCCC
This 329-nucleotide long non-coding RNA is filed under the name Elaeis guineensis (African oil palm). Its description in RNAcentral is "long non-coding RNA (EGUI_LNC016343)". The record is from RNAcentral. Lineage: Eukaryota; Viridiplantae; Streptophyta; Magnoliopsida; Arecales; Arecaceae.